CUGGAAGUAGCUCAUCUUGGUAGAGCACUUGGUUUGGGACCUAGGGGUCGCAGGUUAGAAUUCUGUGUUCCCGA
RNAcentral lists this transfer RNA (74 nucleotides) under Staphylococcus aureus. RNAcentral's name for it is "tRNA-Pro". It matches the Rfam family "tRNA". From Rfam's summary of the family: Transfer RNA (tRNA) molecules are approximately 80 nucleotides in length. Their secondary structure includes four short double-helical elements and three loops (D, anti-codon, and T loops). The record is from RNAcentral. Lineage: Bacteria; Bacillati; Bacillota; Bacilli; Caryophanales; Staphylococcaceae.